This 1128-nucleotide long non-coding RNA is filed under the name Nothobranchius furzeri (turquoise killifish). RNAcentral describes it as "lncRNA (ENSNFUG00015005833.1)". Lineage: Eukaryota; Metazoa; Chordata; Actinopteri; Cyprinodontiformes; Nothobranchiidae. The record is from RNAcentral.
AUGUAUCCCACAGAUUCCAUCGUAAUGGAGGGUGAUUGGAACAUGACUUUGGAUGAAUGGGAAGAUAGAUCACCCUCAAGGUUUCAAAGUCAGCAGUUUAAUUGUCUUAUGGUCGAAUUUAUCAGGGAUAAUUAUCUGAUGGAUAUUUGGAGGGAUAAGAACCCAGGGAAGAAAAUGUUCUCUUGGUAUAAACCCAACGGAACCGCAAAAUCGAGAAUUGACUACUGGCUGGUUAGGCAGUCAUUGGAAAGAUUUGUCUCUGAUACUGUAAUCUCCAAAGCUCCAUUAACAGAUUACUGUGUAAUUGAAAUAACAUUGAAUUCAAAGAAUAGGAAUAAUAAAAGUAAGGGCUAUUGGAAAUUCAAUGCUAAUCUCCUAAAUGAUAAAGAAUACUGUGGGAAAAUAAAAGGAAUAAUAUCAGCAAUAGUGAAGGAUGAUAAAAUAGAGAGCUUUUGCAGCAAUUGGGAAUAUGUAAGGUUUACGAUCAGAGAAUAUUCGAUUAUAAAGAGUAAAGAAUUGAACAAAGAAAGAACAAAGCAGGAAUGUGACCUUCUGCAGGAGAUUAGUAGGUGCUGCAACAAAUUAGAAAUGACUAAUGAGGAUAAGGAAAACUUACUAUAUCUACAAGCCAAAUUGGAUGAUUUUUAUAGGAAGAGAGCCCAAGGAGCUUUUGUACGUUCAAGAGCAAAGUGGGUGGAGGAGGGAGAGAAAAACACAACAUAUUUUAAGAAAAUGGAGAAAAGAAGACAGGAAAAUAAAGCCAUCUCAAGCUUGCUGAUUAAUGGUAUAGAAUGCAAGGAUAAUAAAACGAUCGAGAGAGAAGUACUUACAUUUUAUAGUGAGCUUUAUUCCUCAGCCUUUUCCACGAGGGACGCAACUACAUUUUUUAACUUAUUGCAUGAACGAAUUGCCGUCAUUGACACAUUUAAGGAAAUGUGUGAAUCUGAUUUGAAGAUAGAAGAGCUGGAUGCAGUCGUUCUGAAGCUGGCAGUAAACAAAGCCUCGGGUACUGAUGGACUCACGGCUAAUUUCUAUCAUUUAAUUUGGAAAGACAUCAGAAAUCUACUGUUCAAAGCAUUACAGGAAUGUUUAGAGAAGCAAGAACUAACAACCAGCAAGAAACAUUAA